Rhopilema esculentum is the source of this 154-nucleotide non-coding RNA. The record is from RefSeq and is a predicted model, not a curated record. NCBI's taxonomy places the organism in Eukaryota, Metazoa, Cnidaria, Scyphozoa, Rhizostomeae, Rhizostomatidae.
GUCCAUGCAAAGCUUCUGAAGGCCUCCCCAAAGAUUGUGUAUGAAAAGAUUGUCGCUCCUGAAUUGAAGGAACUUGAACAGCAACUUAAAGACGCCAAAUCUGAAAUGUCUGGUGAAGAAUGCUUCAUAGAAAGCGCCAUAUGCCUUUUGCAGG